Molecule: long non-coding RNA, 1333 nt
Organism: Anguilla rostrata (American eel)
Lineage: Eukaryota; Metazoa; Chordata; Actinopteri; Anguilliformes; Anguillidae
Exons: 4
Source: RefSeq, a predicted model, not a curated record
GACAACAGUGUUCUUUUUUUACACUGAUGGUGUGUAUCAGCGGAUGCUUGCACCACUCUUGUGCACCCAAUAAUUUGCUUCAUUAAACAGCCAAUCAAAUCUGCCCCUGACAUGUGCCCUCCUACUGUUCAGUGAAUGAAGAGAAAUUAUUAUCUCAAGUCCUCCUCUUAUCUGUACAGUUUGAGUUUUACAGCGCAGAGGACAAACAGGGUCUCAGGCAGAGGAGAGUCUCCAGAAGAGGAGAGUUCAGAUACAGUGAUGCCACCACUCUGUGCUGUUCUUGUGCUUUUCAGCAAAGUCUAUGGUCUGCUUGGGAAUAUAAUUCAGCCUGACACGCUGGUGCGAGCUCAGAUCGGAGACACUGUGACUCUCCCAUGCUUCUACUCUGAAAACGUUUUUGAUAUCAGUUGGUAUAAGCAGCCUCUUGGACAGAAGAUUCAGCACAUUGCAGUGCAAGUUGUAAAUAAAAAAGAAAAGGAUCAAUUUUUCGAUGAGUUUAACAACAGUAAACGCUUCAGUGCUAAAGGAACAAAGGGGAUCUUUAACCUGACUGUGUCACGAGUAGAGCCAUCAGAUUCAGCCACAUAUCACUGCGCUAUGACGUCCUACAGAGAGACCAUCUUUGGAAAUGGAACGACUUUAAUGGUGAUGGGUUCAGAGUCACACAACAGGACAGUAGUACUACAGCAGCCCGAGUCUGAGUCAGUGCAGUCAGGAGACUCUGUGACUCUGCAGUGUACAGUACACACUGAGACCUGUGCAGGAGAACACAGUGUGUACUGGUUCAGACAGAGCACAGGAGAGUCCCCUCCAGGAAUCAUUUCCACCCAUGGAACCAGGAGUGAUGAGUGCCAGAGGAGCUCUGGGUCUGUGUCUCCCACACAGAGCUGUGUCUACAACUUCCCCAAGAGGAACCUCAGCCCCUCUGAUGCUGGGACUUACUACUGUGCUGUGGCCACCUGUGGGGAGAUCCUGUUUGGGAACGGGACCAUGCUGAAUGUUGAGGGAGGUGAAUUAUCCAUGCUUGUCUGGCUCUCGAUCAUACGGACUGGAGUUCUCUGUUGCAUGUUGCCCAUAUUUGUCCUCAUCUAUUGCAAAAAGGCAUAAAUAAUGAUGAUAUUAUGGGAUUCAUACCAUUAAAUCAGCGAAUCAUAUUCAUAUUAAUACCUCCUUCUGGGUAUUCUUUUUCUCCUUCUUCUUAUAAUGACUUUUUUCCAGAACACAAUCCCUGUUUACAAAUUACCCUGGUGUAUGAAUCCUAAUUUUGGCAUAAUAGCAUAUGACAGCUGAUGUUACUCAAACAGUGUAAUGCAAUUAAAAUGAAUUUCAAUCA